AUGAACGCUGGCGGCGUGCCUAAUACAUGCAAGUCGAGCGAACAGACGAGGAGCUUGCUCCUCUGACGUUAGCGGCGGACGGGUGAGUAACACGUGGAUAACCUACCUAUAAGACUGGGAUAACUUCGGGAAACCGGAGCUAAUACCGGAUAAUAUAUUGAACCGCAUGGUUCAAUAGUAAAAGACGGUUUUGCUGUCACUUAUAGAUGGAUCCGCGCCGCAUUAGCUAGUUGGUAAGGUAACGGCUUACCAAGGCAACGAUGCGUAGCCGACCUGAGAGGGGGAUCGGCCACACGGGACCUGAGACACGGUCCAGACCCCUAGGGGAGGCAGCAGUAGGGAAUCUUCCGCAAGGGGCGAAAGCCUGACGGAGCAACGCCGCGGGAGUGAUGAAGGGCUUCGGAUCGUAAAACUCUGUUAUUAGGGAAGAACAAAUGUGUAAGUAACCAUGCACGUCUUGACGGUACCUAAUCAGAAAGCCCCGGCUAACUACGU
RNAcentral lists this ribosomal RNA (495 nucleotides) under uncultured bacterium. RNAcentral's name for it is "partial 16S ribosomal RNA". It matches the Rfam family "Bacterial small subunit ribosomal RNA", at positions 29 to 506 of the family's 1533-position model. The record is from RNAcentral.